This 88-nucleotide transfer RNA is filed under the name Elusimicrobiota bacterium. RNAcentral describes it as "Elusimicrobia bacterium (hot springs metagenome) tRNA-Leu". It matches the Rfam family "tRNA". Rfam says of the family: Transfer RNA (tRNA) molecules are approximately 80 nucleotides in length. Their secondary structure includes four short double-helical elements and three loops (D, anti-codon, and T loops). The record is from RNAcentral. Lineage: Bacteria; Pseudomonadati; Elusimicrobiota.
GCCGAAGUGGUGGAAUUGGCAGACACGCUGGUCUCAAAAACCAGUGGUCUAUUAAACGGCCGUGAGGGUUCGACUCCCUCCUUCGGCA